ACUGCUCAGUAACACGUGGACAACCUACCCUGAAGAGGGGGAUAACCCCGGGAAACUGGGGAUAAUACCCCAUAGACUAUGGAUGCUGGAAUGCUCUGUAGUUCAAAGGUCCGCCGCUUCAGGAUGGGUCUGCGGCCGAUUAGGUUGUUGUUGGGGUAACGGCCCAACAAGCCUGUAAUCGGUACGGGUUGUGGGAGCAAGAGCCCGGAGAUGGAUUCUGAGACACGAAUCCAGGCCCUACGGGGCGCAGCAGGCGCGAAAACUUUGCAAUGCGAGAAAUCGUGACAAGGGAACUCCGAGUGCCUGUAAAAUCAGGCUGUCCGCCAGUGUAAACAACUGGUGAAGAAAGGGCCGGGCAAGACCGGUGCCAGCCGCCGCGGUAAUACCGGCGGCUCGAGUGGUGGCCACUAUUACUGGGCUUAAAGCGUUCGCAGCUGGCUUGUUAAGUCUCUGGGGAAAUCUUCCGGCUUAACCGGAAGGCGUCUCAGGGAUACUGGCAGGCUAGGGACCGGAAGAGGUGAGAGGUACUCCAGGGGUAGGAGUGAAAUCCUGUAAUCCUUGGGGGACCACCUGUGGCGAAGGCGUCUCACCAGGACGGCUCCGACAGUGAGGAACGAAAGCUGGGGGAGCAAACCGGAUUAGAUACCCGGGUAGUCCCAGCUGUAAACGAUGCGCGUUAGGUGUAUCGGUGACCACGAGUCACCGAGGUGCCGAAGAGAAAUCGUGAAACGUGCCGCCUGGGAAGUACGGUCGCAAGGCUGAAACUUAAAGGAAUUGGCGGGGGAGCAC
RNAcentral lists this ribosomal RNA (789 nucleotides) under uncultured archaeon. Its description in RNAcentral is "bacterial SSU rRNA". It matches the Rfam family "Archaeal small subunit ribosomal RNA", at positions 85 to 879 of the family's 1478-position model. The record is from RNAcentral.